RNAcentral lists this ribosomal RNA (1737 nucleotides) under Chernes hahnii. RNAcentral's name for it is "SSU rRNA". It matches the Rfam family "Eukaryotic small subunit ribosomal RNA". The record is from RNAcentral. Lineage: Eukaryota; Metazoa; Arthropoda; Arachnida; Pseudoscorpiones; Chernetidae.
GCAUGUCUUGGUUCAUGCCCUUGCAAGGCUAAACCGCGAAUGGCUCAUUAAAUCAGUUAUGGUUCCUUAGAUCAUACACGUUUACUUGGAUAACCGUGGCAAUUCUAGAGCUAAUACAUGCAACUGAGUCCUCGCCCUCUCGGGGGUGAGGAUGCUUUUAUUAGACCAAGACCAGACGGGCUCGUCCCGAAAGUCAAGGUGACUCUGAGUAACUACGGGCGGAUCGCACGGUCUUUGUACCGGCGACGCAUCUUCCGAGUGUCUGCCCUAUCAACUGUCGAUGGUAGGUUAUGCGCCUACCAUGGUUGUAACGGGUAACGGGGAAUCAGCGUUCGAUUCCGGAGAGGGAGCCUGAGAAACGGCUACCACAUCCAAGGAAGGCAGCAGGCGCGCAAAUUACCCACUCUCAGCGCGAGGAGGUAGUGACGAUAAAUAACAAUACGGGACUCUAACGAGGCCCCGUAAUUGGAAUGAGCACAGCUUAAAGCCUUUAACGAGGAUCAAUUGGAGGGCAAGUCUGGUGCCAGCAGCCGCGGUAACACCAGCUCCAAUAGCGUAUAUUAAAGUUGUUGCGUUUAAAAAGCUCGUAGUUGGAUCUCAGUCGGCGCUCCGCGGCGCGUCGAAAGGCGUCGGUUGCGGGGGCCGUCAAUUGUUGGUGGGCUUGGUUGGCCUUAAAAAGCUGAUCUCGUUCUCCGGCAGAUUUCACUUUGAAAAAAUUGGGGUGCUCAGAGCAGGCCGGGGCCUGGACAUUGGUGCAUGGAAUGAUGGAAUAGGACCUCGGUUCUAUUUUGUUGGUUUUUGGAGUCCGAGGUAAUGAUUAAGAGGGACAGACGGGGGCAUUCGUACUGCGACGCUAGAGGUGAAAUUCUUGGACCGUUGCAAGACGAACUACUGCGAAAGCAUUUGCCAAGAAUGUUUUCAUUAAUCAAGAACGAAAGUUAGAGGUUCGAAGGCGAUCAGAUACCGCCCUAGUUCUAACCAUAAACGAUGCCAACCGGCGAUCAGCCCGAGUUCCUUAAACGACUCGGCUGGCAGCCUCCGGGAAACCAAAGUCUUUGGGUUCCGGGGGGAGUAUGGUUGCAAAGCUGAAACUUAAAGGAAUUGACGGAAGGGCACCACCAGGAGUGGAGCCUGCGGCUUAAUUUGACUCAACACGGGGAAACUUACCCGGCCCGGACACCGGAAGGAUUGACAGAUUGAUAGCUCUUUCUUGAUUCGGUGGGUGGUGGUGCAUGGCCGUUCUUAGUUGGUGGAGCGAUUUGUCUGGUUAAUUCCGAUAACGAACGAGACUCUAGCCUGCUAAAUAGGCCCGCGGUCCGUGGUACCGCGACACGGUCUUCUUAGAGGGACAGGCGGCUCUUAGCCGCACGAAACAGAGCAAUAACAGGUCUGUGAUGCCCUUAGAUGUCCGGGGCCGCACGCGCGCUACACUGGAGGAAUCAGCGGGCAUUUUUCCUGGUCCGAAAGGAUCGGGUAACCCUGUGAACUUCCUUCGUGAUUGGGAUAGGGGAUUGGAACUGUUCCCCUCGAACGAGGAAUUCCCAGUAAGUGCGGGUCAUCAGCUCGCGUUGAUUACGUCCCUGCCCUUUGUGCACACCGCCUGUCGCUACUAUCGAUUGAAUGAUUUAGUGAGGUCUUCGGACCGAGUCGAAAGAUGGGCUUCGCGCCUCGUCUCCGAUUCGGAAAGAUGCCCGAACUUGGUCAUUUAGAGAAAGUAAAAGUCAUAACAAGGUUGCC